CAGUCGAACGGUAGAGGGGGCAACCCCUCGAGAGUGGCGAACGGGUGAGUAAUAUAUCGGAACGUGCCCAGUCGUGGGGGAUAACGUAGCGAAAGUUACGCUAAUACCGCAUACGAUCUACGGAUGAAAGCGGGGGAUCGCAAGACCUCGCGCGAUUGGAGCGGCCGAUAUCAGAUUAGGUAGUUGGUGGGGUAAAGGCUCACCAAGCCAACGAUCUGUAGCUGGUCUGAGAGGACGACCAGCCACACUGGAACUGAGACACGGUCCAGACUCCUACGGGAGGCAGCAGUGGGGAAUUUUGGACAAUGGACGCAAGUCUGAUCCAGCCAUUCCGCGUGCAGGAUGAAGGCCCUCGGGUUGUAAACUGCUUUUGUACGGAACGAAAAGGUUUCCAUUAAUACUGGGAGCUCAUGACGGUACCGUAAGAAUAAGCACCGGCUAACUACGUGCCAGCAGCCGCGGUAAUACGUAGGGUGCAAGCGUUAAUCGGAAUUACUGGGCGUAAAGCGUGCGCAGGCGGUUAUGUAAGACAGAGGUGAAAUCCCCGGGCUCAACCUGGGAACUGCCUUUGUGACUGCAUAGCUAGAGUACGGUAGAGGGGGAUGGAAUUCCGCGUGUAGCAGAGAAAUGCGUAGAUAUGCGGAGGAACACCGAUGGCGAAGGCAAUCCCCUGGACCUGUACUGACGCUCAUGCACGAAAGCGUGGGGAGCAAACAGGAUUAGAUACCCUGGUAGUCCACGCCCUAAACGAUGUCAACUGGUUGUUGGGUCUUCACUGACUCAGUAACGAAGCUAACGCGUGAAGUUGACCGCCUGGGGAGUACGGGCCGCAAGGUUGAAACUCAAAGGAAUUGACGG
RNAcentral lists this ribosomal RNA (858 nucleotides) under uncultured bacterium. RNAcentral's name for it is "bacterial SSU rRNA". It matches the Rfam family "Bacterial small subunit ribosomal RNA", at positions 59 to 916 of the family's 1533-position model. The record is from RNAcentral.